GAUGAAGAACGUAGCGAAAUGCGAUAAGUAAUGCGAAUUGCAGAAUCCGUGAAUCAUCGAAUCUUUGAACGCACAUUGCGCCCCCUGGCAUUCCGGGGGGCAUGCCUGUUCGAGCGUCAUUACAACCCUCAAGCUCUGCUUGGUAUUGGGCUCUGCUGGGACCGGCAGGCCUUAAAAUCAGUGGCGGCGCCACUCGGCUUCAAGCGUAGUAAUUCUUCUCGCUUCGGAGACCCGGGUGCGUGCUAGCCAGCAACCCCCAACUUUCUUAGGUUGACCUCGGAUCAGGUAGGGAUACCCGCUGAACUUAAGCAUAUCAAUAAGCGGAGGA
Molecule: unclassified non-coding RNA, 328 nt
Filed under: soil metagenome
Description: partial contains 5.8S ribosomal RNA, internal transcribed spacer 2, and large subunit ribosomal RNA
Rfam family: 5.8S ribosomal RNA (bases 1-119)
Source: RNAcentral